Zingiber officinale is the source of this 174-nucleotide long non-coding RNA. RefSeq lists it as uncharacterized. The transcript is spliced from 3 exons. The record is from RefSeq and is a predicted model, not a curated record. Lineage: Eukaryota; Viridiplantae; Streptophyta; Magnoliopsida; Zingiberales; Zingiberaceae.
UGCAAUAAACCCUGGAAACAGUGGUGGUCCUGCCUUCAAUGAUCGUGGUGAGUGUAUUGGUGUGGCAUUCCAGGUUUUCAGAUCCGAAGACACUGAAAAUAUUGGAUAUGUUAUUCCAGCCACUAUGGUUUCUCAUUUUCUUGAUGAUUAUGAAAGAAAUGGGAAGUAUACUGG